Molecule: ribosomal RNA, 110 nt
Filed under: Oryctolagus cuniculus (rabbit)
Lineage: Eukaryota; Metazoa; Chordata; Mammalia; Lagomorpha; Leporidae
Source: RNAcentral
AUCUACGACCAUACCACCCUGAACGUGCCCGAUCUCGUCUGAUCUCAGAAGCUAAGCAGGGUCGGGCCUGGUUAGUACUUGGAUGGGAGAAAACAUAAUGCUCAUUGCUA